RNAcentral lists this ribosomal RNA (495 nucleotides) under uncultured bacterium. Its description in RNAcentral is "partial 16S ribosomal RNA". It matches the Rfam family "Bacterial small subunit ribosomal RNA", at positions 28 to 506 of the family's 1533-position model. The record is from RNAcentral.
GAUGAACGCUGGCGGCGUGCCUAAUACAUGCAAGUCGAGCGAACGGACGAGAAGCUUGCUUCUCUGAUGUUAGCGGCGGACGGGUGAGUAACACGUGGAUAACCUACCUAUAAGACUGGGAUAACUUCGGGAAACCGGAGCUAAUACCGGAUAAUAUUUUGAACCGCAUGGUUCAAAAGUGAAAGACGGUCUUGCUGUCACUUAUAGAUGGAUCCGCGCUGCAUUAGCUAGUUGGUAAGGUAACGGCUUACCAAGGCAACGAUGCAUAGCCUACCUGAGAGGGUGAUCGGCCACACUGGAACGGAGACACGGGCCAGACCCCUACGGGGGGCGGCAGUAGGGAAUCUUCCGAAAUGGGGGAAAGCCUGACGGAGCAACGCCGCGGGAGUGAUAAGGUCUUCGGAUCGUAAAACUCUUUUAUUAGGGAAAAACAUAUGUGUAAGUAACUGUGCACAUCUUGGCGGUACCUAAUAAGAAAGCCCCGGCUAACUCCGU